AUGUCUUGCUAUCUUCUGCUUUAUCAUUCGGAUAUUGAUUUCUACCUCCUUCGGGGGAGCAAUGGCACCAACAUUAGUUUACAUUUCAAGAUUCUGAAAUGUAUAUGCUGUCUCUCGAGGGUUCGGCUUAGCUUUCUCUGGAUCAUAUUGUUCAUGUUCUUAGCAGCAAAAAAUGGUUUCAAGAUUCUGAAAUGUAUAUGCUGUCUCUCGAGGGUUCGGCUUAGCUUUCUCUGGAUCAUAUUGUUCAUGUUCUUAGCAGCAAACAAAUGGUUUCAAGAUUCUGAAAUGUAUAUGCUGUCUCUCGAGGGUUCGGCUUAG
This 318-nucleotide ribosomal RNA is filed under the name Triticum aestivum (bread wheat). RNAcentral describes it as "partial small subunit ribosomal RNA". The record is from RNAcentral. Lineage: Eukaryota; Viridiplantae; Streptophyta; Magnoliopsida; Poales; Poaceae.